Molecule: long non-coding RNA, 1658 nt
Organism: Quercus robur (English oak)
Lineage: Eukaryota; Viridiplantae; Streptophyta; Magnoliopsida; Fagales; Fagaceae
Exons: 2
Source: RefSeq, a predicted model, not a curated record
CACACACACACAGAUGCAUUAUUUGGAGUUUGGUUAGAUGUUUCACUAAUUUGCUUUUUAACAUUACAUUCAAACCAUUUUAAAUAUGUAUGCUUAUCUCAGUGCUAAUUUAUUGGUGCAGUCAGAGGUGAAUUUCUUGGGAAGGCUCUCUCAUCCUAAACUAAUCAAGCUGUUAGGCUACUGCAGGGAGGACAGAGAGUUACUCCUCAUUUAUGAAUUCAUGCAGAAAGGCAGCCUAGAAAACCAUUUGUUUGGAAGGGGGUCAGUUGUUCGGCCAUUUCCAUGGGAUAUACGGCUUAAGAUUGCAAUUGGAGCAGCUCGGGGCCUGGCAUUUUUGCACACAUGUGAUGAGCAAAUUAUUUAUGGAGAUUUCAAGGCCUCCAAUAUACUGCUGGAUGGGGUAAAUUUCUAUUGAAAAGUGAAUAACUAUCAAACUACAAGAGGUACACUAAGGAAUGAUAUAUUGCUACUGUCCCUAGCCCAUUGAUUAUUAUAUCAUCUUUUCAUCUUGUUCACAUUUCCAACUUUUAUGCACACCCAUUUUCCCUUUGUGAAUCCACGUCUCAAAAUGGAUCCACCACGUCAUGGAAUUAAAAAGUUUAAAAAUUCCUUGGUCACAAAAAGAAUGUCUCACAAAUAAAGUUUGAACUUGUUUAACUUUUGGUUUUAUUGCAAUCCUAUACUGCCAAGAUAUCAGACUUUGGCUUCGCGAAGUUGGGUCCAUCAGCUAGUCAUGCAAAUGUGAUAACACGAGUAAUUGACACGUAUGGUUAUGCAGCUCCAGAGUAUUUUGCCACAGGUAUUAUUUCUACCAAAACUUUUGGACUUCUGGUGCUCUUAAGGCCAAAUGAGGGUGAGGCCUAAGCUUGACCUAAAUUUUGGAAAACUUCGGCUACUUAACCUUGAAUGUUUUAAAAGCUGUGCCAUGACAAUAUGUUAUGCUGAUUAUACAGGGCAUCUGUACGUCAAGAGCGACGUGUAUAGUUUUGGUGUUGUUUUAGUUGAGAUACUAACAGGUUUACGGGUACUUGAUACAAAUCGUCCAAGAGGGAAACAUUAUCUGGUUAAUUGGAUCAAACCAUACCUAUCAGAAAUAAGAAAGUUGAAACAAAUCAUGGACUCCCGAUUGGGGGGAAAAUAUCCAUCCAAGGCUGCAUUCCAUAUAUCUCAGCUUGCUCUAAAGUUCCUUGCAGCUGAACCUAAGCUCUGACCAUCAAUGAAAGAAGUUUUAGAAAAAUUGGAAUGGUUUGAAGCUGCCAAUGAAAGACCAAGGGAGCCUAGAAAUCAUGCUAGUCAUCCUAUGGUUCAUCGACAAGGCCAGCAGCCUUUGCACCAUCGUUCUCCACUUCAUCCUAGACUGGAUGGAAAUCCAGCCUACCAAAAUUCCUCCCAAGUAAGGUGACUUUGAUACAUCUGCUACAUGCAAGCAUAAUUCUUCACUUGUAUGCUGAUUGUUACUCAUGAACAACAACAAUUCCCACUUUAUUUUUUAAUUUUGAUUAAUGUGAUCUUUUGUAAGUUACAAUGAGUAUUAUUAUUUUACUGGUGACUUGUAUGUACUGAAUGAGUAUUUAGCAGUAGGACUGUUAUUAUCUAGAAGGUCUGGUGAGUUGUGCUUAACAGCUUAAGGAUGUGUUACAAAGUUAUUAGUUUUGUUC